This is a non-coding RNA of Scatophagus argus, 649 nucleotides long. The record is from the annotation of a RefSeq genome assembly. Lineage: Eukaryota; Metazoa; Chordata; Actinopteri; Scatophagidae.
AUGACUUUGAUCUGCGUCCUCAUCUGGACUCUCCUCUGCUGCUGCUUCACAGAGUCCAGAGGACAGGUCACAGUGACUCAGCAGCCUGCAGCAGUGAGCUCUGCUAUUGGAGGAACCGUCUCCAUCAGAUGUAGGACCAGUCAGAAUGUUAAUGGCAACUAUUUAUCCUGGUACCAACAGAGAGGUGGAGAAGCUCCUAAACUCCUCAUUUACUAUGCUAGCACUCAAGCAUCAGGGAUUCCAGAUCGUUUUACAGGCAGUGGAUCAAACUCUGACUUCACUCUGACCAUCAGUGGAGUCCAGGCUGAAGAUGCAGCAGUUUACUACUGUCAGAGUUAUCAUGAGAUCAACAGUAAAGCUGUGUUUACACAGUGAAAAAUGGUCGUACAAAAACCUCCCUCAGUCAGACUGAACAGAAACUAAACUGACUGCUGCAGCUGGAAGCUCCUGCAGAGACUGAUACACUUCACUGAGGACACACACACACACACACAGUGAACACACACAAUCUCAUCAGUUAUAAUGAAUCAAUCAACUUUGUUGCUUUAUCACCAAUUAACACGAUUCCUGACCCAUGUUUCAAUGUCCGUUCAUAUCUUAUGAAAAUCCCAUGUUGUCUGACUUCAUAAAAGCUCAAGAAGAACCAGAC